GCUGCGGUAGCUCAAUUGGUAGAGCAUCGUAUGCGGAAUGCGAAGGUUGUGGGUUCGGUCUCCACCUGCGGCA
RNAcentral lists this transfer RNA (73 nucleotides) under Dermacentor andersoni. RNAcentral describes it as "transfer RNA proline (anticodon CGG)". It matches the Rfam family "tRNA". From Rfam's summary of the family: Transfer RNA (tRNA) molecules are approximately 80 nucleotides in length. The record is from RNAcentral. Lineage: Eukaryota; Metazoa; Arthropoda; Arachnida; Ixodida; Ixodidae.